This 422-nucleotide ribosomal RNA is filed under the name uncultured bacterium. Its description in RNAcentral is "partial 16S ribosomal RNA". It matches the Rfam family "Bacterial small subunit ribosomal RNA", at positions 360 to 774 of the family's 1533-position model. The record is from RNAcentral.
AAUCUUCCGCAAUGGACGAAAGUCUGACGGAGCAACGCCGCGUGAGUGAUGAAGGUUUUCGGAUCGUAAAACUCUGUUGUUGGGGAAGAACAAGUAUCGGAGUCACUGCCGGUACCUUGACGGUACCUGACGAGAAAGCCACGGCUAACUACGUGCCAGCAGCCGCGGUAAUACGUAGGGGGCAAGCGUUGUCCGGAUUUAUUGGGCGUAAAGCAGCGGGAGGCGGUUUUUUAAGGCUGAUUGGAAAACUUACAGCUUAACUGUAAGGGGUCAUUGGAAAACGGGAGAAUUGGGUGCAAAAAAGGAGAGUGGAAUUCCAUGUGUAGGGGUGAAAUGCGUAGAGAUAUGGAGGAACAACAGUGGCGGAGGCGAAUCUCUGGUCUGUAACUGACGCUGAGGCGCGGAAGCGUGGGGAUCAAACA